Molecule: ribosomal RNA, 105 nt
Filed under: Pteropus alecto (black flying fox)
Lineage: Eukaryota; Metazoa; Chordata; Mammalia; Chiroptera; Pteropodidae
Source: RNAcentral
GUCUACGGUCAUGCCUCCCUGACUCUGAUCUCAGAAGCUAAGCAGGGUCGGGCCUGGUUAGUACUUGGAUGGGAGACCGCCUUCGAAAACUAGGUGCUGUAGGCA